RNAcentral lists this ribosomal RNA (521 nucleotides) under uncultured bacterium. RNAcentral describes it as "partial 16S ribosomal RNA". The record is from RNAcentral.
ACUGACAGCCAUGGUUACCGCGGCUGCUGGCACGGAGUUAGCCGGUGCUUCUUCUGUGAGUGAUGUCCUUCCUGCCGGCUAUUAACCCGCAGGCCUUCUUCCUCACUGAAAGUGCUUUAACAACCCGAAGGCCUUCUUCACACACGCGGCAUGGCUGGAUCAGGGUUGCCCCAUUGUCCAAUAUUCCCACUGCUGCCUCCCGUAGGAGUCUGGGCCGUGUCUCAGUCCCCAGUGUGGCUGAUCAUCCUCUCAGACCAGCUACGGAUCGUCGCCUUGGUGAGCCGUUACCUCACCAACCAGCUAAUCCGACAUAGGCUCAUCCGAUAGCGCGAGGCCCGAAGGUCCCCCGCUUUCCCCCGUAGGGCGUAUGCGGUAUUAGCCUGGGUUUCCCCAGGUUAUCCCCCACUACCGGGCAGAUUCCUAUGCAUUACUCACCCGUCCGCCGCUCGCCACCAGGGAGCCAAGCUCCCCGGUGCUGCCGCUCGACUUGCAUGUGUUAGGCCUGCCGCCAGCGUUCAAUC